AGAUACUCAGACAACAGCUGGAGUGUUGCCUUGAGAGUAAGAUGGGAUCUAGUGCCCAAUUGGAUAAACAUAAACAAAGAAAGACCUUGAUUCUCUGGCAGCAGCUACUUGGGCGGCUGGAAUAAUCCCUGGACUCAGACCAGCAUGGACCCUCUUUAGAAACUCUGAGUAUCUUCAUUUCUGCCGUCAGACAAUACAUCAGUUCCACCUUCCACCAUAUCUCAUUUGACCUUUAGAUGACCUCUGCCCUGUCUCCCCAAGUCUUUUCCCAUACCCCUCUCUGACCCUAUCUCUGACUGUCAAUGCCAGUGGAAUGAACUUUUAAAAAUACAAAUCUAAAUGGUUAACCACAAUCAGUGAUCAACUUUAAGGCCUACCUCUUGCCCUCAGGCUCAACAAAAAAGUCCUCAAAUGUUUAUCCCCAAAGAAUAAAAAUGUCCUUUUUCGCAGGUGAUGCAUUCUUUCAAUCUCAAGAAGUCCUACCCCCAAACAGAGGCAGAACCACCAAUUUGGUUCCUUUUACUCCAUUUUGGCAUAAUCUCUCUUUUCAGACUCAAGUCCCUUUCUAUGAAAAAAAAGGAGUUUUAUAUUGUUAAGCUGCCACCAGUGGCUAAUAAAGUAAACAAACCUGUUGAGGAGAUGGAGCAGUGUUUUACAGGCAAAGACAAAGGUGGACAGUGAAAAAAUGUCAGUAAAUAAAAAAAAAUUAGCUCUU
Pteropus alecto (black flying fox) is the source of this 715-nucleotide long non-coding RNA. RefSeq lists it as uncharacterized. Lineage: Eukaryota; Metazoa; Chordata; Mammalia; Chiroptera; Pteropodidae. The record is from RefSeq and is a predicted model, not a curated record. The transcript has 2 exons.